This 240-nucleotide long non-coding RNA is filed under the name Setaria viridis. RNAcentral's name for it is "long non-coding RNA (SVIR_LNC010421)". Lineage: Eukaryota; Viridiplantae; Streptophyta; Magnoliopsida; Poales; Poaceae. The record is from RNAcentral.
ACUAGCGGAAGACUUCGUCGGGGUCGGAUGUCCGGGCGAGGCCAGCCAGAACAUCACUGAGUCCUCUCCUCGCUGUCCGAGGAGGGGUCCCACUCGACCGUCCAGCCUGGCGGGAGCUGGGGUGGCCAAGCACCAACCAGAGAGGGGUCGGACGCAGCAACUUCACCUGAAAACAGAAGCCACAACAAGGCUGAGCUACUAAGCUCAACAAGACUUAACCGAUAGGAGUAAGGGCUACUC